Molecule: ribosomal RNA, 542 nt
Filed under: Bacillus anthracis str. A0488
Lineage: Bacteria; Bacillati; Bacillota; Bacilli; Caryophanales; Bacillaceae
Description: SSU rRNA
Rfam family: Bacterial small subunit ribosomal RNA
Source: RNAcentral
AGGAUGAACGCUGGCGGCGUGCCUAAUACAUGCAAGUCGAGCGAAUGGAUUAAGAGCUUGCUCUUAUGAAGUUAGCGGCGGACGGGUGAGUAACACGUGGGUAACCUGCCCAUAAGACUGGGAUAACUCCGGGAAACCGGGGCUAAUACCGGAUAACAUUUUGAACCGCAUGGUUCGAAAUUGAAAGGCGGCUUCGGCUUGUCACUUAUGGAUGGACCCGCGUCGCAUUAGCUAGUUGGUGAGGUAACGGCUCACCAAGGCAACGAUGCGUAGCCGACCUGAGAGGGUGAUCGGCCACACUGGGACUGAGACACGGCCCAGACUCCUACGGGAGGCAGCAGUAGGGAAUCUUCCGCAAUGGACGAAAGUCUGACGGAGCAACGCCGCGUGAGUGAUGAAGGCUUUCGGGUCGUAAAACUCUGUUGUUAGGGAAGAACAAGUGCUAGUUGAAUAAGCUGGCACCUUGACGGUACCUAACCAGAAAGCCACGGCUAACUACGUGCCAGCAGCCGCGGUAAUACGUAGGUGGCAAGCGUUAUCCG